CACCGCUCCCCUCCAUCCCCUCGAACUAUCAUUUUGUCCUAGGUCGAUCCCCUCGAUCGCGGCCUCCGCCGUACGAUCUCGCCGCCGCCGUAUGGGAUCACCUACGACGUACAAUCUCGCCGCCACCGCAAGCCUUUCCUCCCACCCCGCCUCCUCUCGUCUCUUUGCCCCCGAUCUAGAUGGCGCCUCCAAUCUCGGCGGGGCGGCGACCUCGAGCGACGGCAGCACCGCUGGAUCUCCUCCACCCCCACUCAAUCAAUACUGGUACCCGAGGCUCUCCUCCUCGACCGACCGCGAGCAACGCCGCCGCCUCACCGUCUUCUUCUACCAUCACCAACCGCCUGCUCGCGUCCCCGCCAUCCCCUUGUUUGUGGUCUGUGAUGGAGUGAAGUAUCGAUGACCAUCACCUCUCCCCCGCCAUCAUAUUCCCUAGAGGUGGAUACAAAGCUUUGGGAUGACCCACUCGGUGCCGGCUGGAACACCCACGACGCCGGGCUCCUCGGCGUGGCUCCCGCGAGAAUGGGUGCACAUCGGAAUCUGUCCUGCAACGCCAGCGAUUCCAUGGCGAAGUGAUUGUGUUCGACAACAGUAACUUGGGUUGGUUUCCAUCUAUAGAUUGUAGAUGGGAAAUGAUACCUGGUGGAGGCAAUGUUCUGUACAAGUGUUUGAUUAGAACGACACUGCAAAUAAAUUGGUGACAAGAGGCAAAUUCUUGCGGUGCCCGAUGAGGACAUACUCCUACGUCGAUCCAUGUACGAACUGGGAGCAGCAUCGAUCCGAUGAACGCACAAGGAAUAUCCAACAGAUUACCCUUACUACUAUAUUUUUUAUCCAUGAAUGUCAUCUUGGGCCCCUGUACGAUUUGAUUACAUGAUGUUGUGUCCUCAAACUUUACUCUGAGUUAUUUGUUAGAUGCUCGGUGAAAUUCAGAAUUAUUUUUCUUCUGUCUUCCCAGUGAUGGAAGGUAGAUUGAGCUGAUAAAUUUCUGCACCCACCUUGAGGUCCAUAACGUUCUCCUAAUUGUAUGCAGCACAAUCGUAAAGAUGUAUUUGUUUGAGGGAGAGGACUGUCUCUUAUCAGAAGCAACAUUAUGUGAUCAUCAUGUGUUGGAUCUUGGUCCCCUGUAUGAGUUGAAUACAUGAUGUAGUGUCCUCAACAUUUACUCUGAAUUAUAUGUUAGAUGCUCGAUGAAAUUCACAGCUAAGCGUUUUUUUUCUUUUGUCGUGCCAGUGAUGGAAGGUAGAUUGAGCUGAAAAUUUUCUGCACCCACCUUGAGGUCCAUAAGGUUCUCCUAAUUAUAUGCAGCCCAAUCGUAAAGAUAUAUUUGUUUGCGGAGAAGACUAUCAGUUAUCAGAAGCAACAUUAUGUGAUCAUCAUGUGUGAGAGAGACGGCAAGAGUAUGUGAUAUUUAUUUCUGUGUGGACUACUAAUAUGUAUUGACUGUUCAUGUUGCUACAGUAGGUUCAUGAUUGAUUAUGGCAACAAGGAAAUCACUCGAGAAGGAUUUUAUUAGUAUGCACACUUUGAGACUUGAGAGGCUGUUAUUGAUUAAGGAAUCUAUGUCUGCUAGAGAGGCCGAUGCCAAAUCAGCAUCGGAAAAGGGCAAGAUAAGGGGACUGAGGUGAAGUCCUUUCUUCUCUGUCUCUAUGCUAUGCUGAUACGUUCAAACCAGCAUUUUAAAUAUCGAUACCUAUAAUUCAUUGAUUAGCUCAAACAAAUGAUACUAGACAGAAGAAUACUGCAAUUGAUCUAUGAAAAUUUGUUAGAUUUUAGUAUCUAUCUAACAUCUAAGAGAAAAAAUGUGAUGAACAUUUUCUCACAAGGUUAUGUAUAUCUUUAAAAUUUGGUACUGAGAGAAGGCCUUAAAUGCUUGCAAAUCCUCUGUUUUAAGAGCAGCACCUGGAUCCAACGAACCAAAUAUGCAAGCACGCAAUACAAUGAUGUUUUUUCUUCUCCAUUACUGAAUCUUCUUUUUAUAAGUAUUUAGUUUGGAAGGCAGUAUCUAGAUAUUCGGAGAGAUUGGUUGCACGCUGCGAGUUUAUCCGAUUCAGAUCCAUGUCUUCUUUCGUACUGCAUCUUCUAGCAUUGCUGUUCGCAGGUUGUCCAUGCUCCUUUAGAUCCUUUCUCAAUGGAUAUUCAGAUUUUUUUUAUAUGGUUGCAAACAUCCCUUGCUCCAUGACAACACUCUGCCCCACCGUUCUACUAUUGCUCAGUAGUUCACUUAACAUUGGACUUAAUAGUAAAACAAAGGUAAAUUUGUGGAGUUAGACAAUACAGUACACUGCUUCUCAAUAGCCUAAUAACUUCUAUAUUUUUUUCUAUUGUGUUUAAUUUCCAUUUGCUCUAAUUUUAUUUUCUCAGAGACAUUUCAUUAGCUAAUACGCCGGCCUUUUUUUACCCUUCUGAUAGUACGAGUCGUCCAGUUUGUGUUGUGUGUUGGAUGAUACUUAUGAAGGAUAUUUUAAAUAUCAUGGAUGAAAUAUAUGUAUCAUGUUGUUUCGCUUAAAUAAUAUUUUUGUAUUUUCCCUCCUUUCCACUUUAGGACUAUAAACUUUCGUUCUCUAAAUGUUUUCUUUUUAUACACGGGCUCAGUCUCUUUUCAUCAGUGUUAAUGACAACAAGUGAAAAGGUUUCUGCCAUGCCAAGUAAUAGCUUAGGUUAAUGGCUAAAAGCAAGGUAUAUCACAAUUCAUCAUUGCUUAAAUCUAUUGUAGACGCACUUCAAUUAUGUUCCGCAACUUGCUGACUUAUGUUUUUAAUAUAAUUUCAUGUUGCUACACUAUUCAUGUCGUCAACAAACAUUGUCUAAUUGCCUGCUUAAUGAGGCUAAGGCCGCGCUUGGAUCAUCGUUUUCAGCCCAAAACACCUGUAAAACAUGCACCCGUACAAAAAAAUCAGUUGUAACUGAGUUCAGUGCUUGGAUGGUCGGUUUUGGGACAUAUUUACACUUGUUUUUAGAAUACACCGAUUUUCAGCCGGUAUGCGAAACACUGGUCAACCCAUCUAUUUUGUACCUCCGUACUCUCUCUCUCUCUCUCUCUCUCUCUCUCUCGCGCGCGCGCGCGGGGGAAACCUAGGCGAGCGAGCAGGAGAACAUGCACCGCCGGCAGAGUGCAAUCUUAUGAAAUCACUAUGGGACACAGUUCCAAUAAAGAAAAGUUACACUUCGAUCUUAGCGUCGUUAGCGGAGACAAGGAUGUUUCCGGCCGCCAUGCGCGCAUCUUCUAUAAUUUCAACACCACUGGUAGGUCAGUAGCUGCGACCCACCCAAAAAUCCCGUCAGUUCAACGCAGUUAUGGUCGAUUGAGAGCGAGCGACGGCCGGACUAAGGGCAGCAGCGGCAACUCUCAUAUUUCAGUUCUACUCUUCCAUCUUGUGUUGGCUCUGGUGUACGACUACAUGCGGUGGCGGCCUGUACAAGGGUCUGUCGAUAAUAGCUGAGCACGACAAGGCGACCCGAGGGAGAUGGAGGAAGACCAGGUUAAAUUAGUGAACUGCCCUAUAUGGAAUCGCUAGAAAAAAAUCAUGUCAAUUUCCUCUACCGCGCCUCCACUCUGCAAGAAAAAGAAGUCCAGGCUAUAAACUCUAGACUGUUGGAUUCAUCUAGAACCCUAAAAAGAUCGGUUUGAUCUGUAACAUAUCAUCUACAAAAAUUGAUUUUUUACAUUUAAAUAUUUUUGCAUUGCUCUUGACUAGAUUGUUUUGUAGGGAGCAUAGGAGAGCAAGAUGGGGUGGUCUGCAUCACCUUCAGUUGGCACAUGCGCAUGCACCUGCAGUAAUCAUUAUCUUUCCCAUGGUUAAGAUGUAUGAUGCAUGAACUUCUAAUAUUUUGAUGUUAAUUUCAAAUGGCUGAUGGAAGAUAAUUUGCUUCUAAUAGUUGUUAUGUAUUGACCCUUGCUUGUUCUUGUUGUAGAUGAAAUUGACCUGAUAGCUCUUAUGUUAGCACUUUCUAAAGUUCACAUUUAUUACAUGCCAUUUGUGUGCUCAAGAAAUAUCUGGACAAUCUUUUGCUAGCGGUAAGUUUCAUGUUUGUGACUUUUUGCUAUGUCAAACGAAGAACAGAAGCCCGAAGCCCGUUACUGUGUGAAUAAUGGCCUCCUUCUGAAGAUAUUUAAUUCACCAUGCUUAUUCAGAGCGAGAUGAGAUAUUUUGAAGCGACAUCAAUUCUAGAGAAAGAUGGACGAUGUGCAGGGAAAUGAGGGGUGGAGGAAAAGAUGUCACUUGUCUUCUCAAAAUUAGAGGGUUAAAGAGAUAGGACAACUGCCAAGGAGGAAAGUGCAGAUGAAGAGAGCAGAUAUGAAGGGGAAGGAGGGGCGGAGAAAAAUAUGUCACUUCUAUUCUCAAGUAGAAGAUGGUUUGAAGAGACAUGACAACCACCGAGGAGGAAAUAAGCAUGAGCGAGAAUUAACUCACAUUUCUGAAAUAGAACUAAUGUUUGACAAUGUCUUCUUUAUUCCUGCAAUGCAAGGGUAGCGGCGGCUGGGCUUGAUUAAUUGCACUCUUUGAAGGAUUGACGAUUGCUGCAGCGUCUGAUCAUGUGAGGGUAAUAAAUAUUUUUCUUGCUAAAAAACCGUUGUCACUUGGAAUAAUAUACGACGGGGGCCUCAUUGGAGUUUAUCUUA
Molecule: long non-coding RNA, 4621 nt
Organism: Triticum aestivum (bread wheat)
Lineage: Eukaryota; Viridiplantae; Streptophyta; Magnoliopsida; Poales; Poaceae
Exons: 3
Source: RefSeq, a predicted model, not a curated record